Agrilus planipennis (emerald ash borer) is the source of this 322-nucleotide long non-coding RNA. RefSeq lists it as uncharacterized. The transcript is spliced from 3 exons. The record is from RefSeq and is a predicted model, not a curated record. NCBI's taxonomy places the organism in Eukaryota, Metazoa, Arthropoda, Insecta, Coleoptera, Buprestidae.
GAGAUUGUAACUGAUAUCUUUGCUUACUGAAAAGAUAAGUCGUCUCCUAUGGUGUUUUAGCUGUAAACCUUUCAUCUUGGAGGCUCUUGUAGUUAAUUAAGGAACAUUAGAAGAACUCCGGAUACCAUUAAAUUAUGAAAUUAUGGAGCAUUGGUUGUAUUAGUCCUCAUUUGCCCUGUAAAGUAGCUGUGCCCAUGGUUCUAAAGAAAGCAUGAAAGUGCCUUUUAUUCAUUGGGAGCGAAGACAGUGUGCUGAAAAAAGGAUUUAUGAUGAUGAACUGAUAACUUCAGUUUCUUAGACAUUUGUAACUUGCUUCAAUAGA